RNAcentral lists this ribosomal RNA (440 nucleotides) under uncultured bacterium. Its description in RNAcentral is "partial 16S ribosomal RNA". It matches the Rfam family "Bacterial small subunit ribosomal RNA", at positions 338 to 795 of the family's 1533-position model. The record is from RNAcentral.
CCUACGGGCGGCAGCAGUGGGGGAUAUUGCACAAUGGGGGAAACCCUGAUGCAGCGACGCCGCGUGUGGGACGACGGUCUUCUGGAUUGUAAACCACUGUCCCCAGGGACGAAAAUGACGGUACCUGGGGAGGAAGCUCCGGCUAACUACGUGCCAGCAGCCGCGGUAAUACGUAGGGCGCAAGCGUUGUCCGGAAUUACUGGUCGUAAAGGGAGCGUAGGCGGGGAUGCAAGUUGGGUGUCAAAACUACCGGCUCAACCGAUAGUCGCACUCAAAACUGCAACUCUUGAGUGAAGUAGAGGCAGGCGGAAUUCCUAGUGUAGCGGUGAAAUGCGUAGAUAUUAGGAGGAACACCAGUGGCGAAGGCGGCCUGCUGGGCUUUUACUGACGCUGAGGCUCGAAAGUGUGGGGAGCAAACAGGAUUAGAUACCCUUGUAGUC